CCUACGGGUGGCAGCAGUGGGGAAUAUUGGACAAUGGGCGAAAGCCUGAUCCAGCCAUGCCGCGUGUGUGAAGAAGGCCUUCGGGUUGUAAAGCACUUUCAGUGGGGAAGAAAGCCUUGGGGCUAAUACCCUCGAGGAAGGACAUCACCCACAGAAGAAGCACCGGCUAACUCCAUGCCAGCAGCCGCGGUAAUACGGAGGGUGCGAGCGUUAAUCGGAAUUACUGGGCGUAAAGCGCGCGUAGGCGGUCUGAUAAGCCGGUUGUGAAAGCCCCGGGCUCAACCUGGGAACGGCAUCCGGAACUGUCAGGCUAGAGUGCAGGAGAGGAAGGUAGAAUUCCCGGUGUAGCGGUGAAAUGCGUAGAGAUCGGGAGGAAUACCAGUGGCGAAGGCGGCCUUCUGGACUGACACUGACGCUGAGGUGCGAAAGCGUGGGUAGCAAACAGGAUUAGAUACCCGUGUAGUC
This 465-nucleotide ribosomal RNA is filed under the name Vreelandella stevensii. RNAcentral's name for it is "partial 16S ribosomal RNA". It matches the Rfam family "Bacterial small subunit ribosomal RNA", at positions 338 to 795 of the family's 1533-position model. Lineage: Bacteria; Pseudomonadati; Pseudomonadota; Gammaproteobacteria; Oceanospirillales; Halomonadaceae. The record is from RNAcentral.